ACCACUUGGAUCUAUAUGAUGCAAACAUUUUAAAUUACAUUUGGAAAUGGACAGAUCUACAGUCAUGAUGAGGGAUUUGACAUGCUGUGCUCAGUAAUGCAUAGUAUAAACAAAAAUAUUAGACAGGAUAUAGGAGAUUAAAAUUUGAAAGCUUGAUAUAAUGGAUACACAUCCUUGUUCCCAACAUGUAAAGAAUUCUUGAAUGUUCAUGACACAUUAAACAAUUUCCUAAAUAGUGACACUAGAGCAAAUUUUAAUAAAUGCCAAAAACGAAUAUCAAACAUACCAUGUUUCCUCAAUGUAGUCAUACCACAGUGCAAUCAAAUUAGAAAGCCAUAUAAAAUAUUAAUCCUUAUCCACAAUUUAAAAUUUUAAAACACAAUUUUAAGUAUCUCAAGGGUCAAAGCAGAGUCCAUUAUGAAAAUCUAAAGAUAUCUGGAAGUGAAUGACAGCACCAGUGUUACAGAACAGAACUCAUGGGAUGCAGUUAAAAUUGUAACUGGAAAGAUGGCUGUAUCCUAAAUGCUUGCAUUAGAAAGGAAGAGGACCACGAAAUCAGAACUAAGUGUCCAAAUGAAGACUCUUGAAAAAACUGAAAUUUCAUUUUUUUCUUCUCAUUUUAAAAGAAAUGAAAAGUUGUCCUGGCCCCUAGAAGGGUUGCUGGCUGUCAACCCUGGUUCUAUGAUGCAUGUGUAGUGUGGAGAUUCAACUAAAUGGAUCAUCUAUGGCAAGAGGCUUCAAGAAAAGCAUGAAGAAAAUGCACAGGUCUGGGUUACUCCUGAUGUUCCUUCCUGCUUUUCUCAUCAAGGCGAUUCUUCAGCGAUCUCAGGAAACUGGCUCACCUGGACAGAAUCUGGGCAUAAAUUACUAUAACAGAAAGGCCAAAAAAAGAGCUUGCAAAGGAGCAAGGGAAGUAAGAAAGAGGGAGAUACUCAUUUCUCAACAGAAUUGAGGAGCCAUGUCUCUGGUGAGUGGCAUAUAUUGAAUUUAAUAAUGUUUGUCUGCUGGGGUAGACAACAACAUGGAGUGUAAAAUUUGGUGUGACAUCGAUCUUGGACUUGGCUCGUAUAUAUAAUCAAUCGCAAACUGCACCCUUCACCACGAACACCUCCCAAACUAAACACAAACCCAAAGUUGAUUCUAUUCAGCAAGUCUCUAAAAUCUGCAGCCUCUAGUUUGAUCUGGCCAAAGAAAUAUUCAACUGUUUGAUUCUUUUAAAGUCCUAUUGUGUCUGAAGUUUCUUUUACCUUCUUAAAAUUCUUAUCUUGGUCACACUUCUCUUUGCAUCUGUGACUCUUUCCACAGUUGACUUUCUAAUUUAUGAAAAACACAAACAACCAAAAAACAAACCCCCACUAGCAACAGCCCUCCCCAAUAUCCCCCCAAACCCUGAGGCCUGUGUAUUUCCCAAAUGUGCUUUGGCUUUUCUUCUUGCUUAAUUUAAAUUUGUCCUAUGUCUCAACAGGAUGUACAACUCUAUGUGUGUUAGAGAAUUUCAGUGUCAAGUUUUAGAAUUGCUUUUUCAACUGCUUCUCUGCUCUGUAGUCUCUUGACUCGAAGUCCUGAAUUCUUCUGCUGGCAUUUCACAUGUAAUGAUGUUGGUUGUCCCUGAAAUAUUAUGUGUGGAGUGAGCAUCCCUUCAAAUAUAUAUAAAAAUAUAUUUUUUAAGGCCCAUGCCUAAUAAAACUGCAGCUGUCUAUCUGCUGGGGGAAGCAAGGAACUAUAGCUCUUGCACAAGAAUAAAGUACUAGAAAUAUCAUUACCCAGGAAUACAUGAGCUACAGGUAAAGAAUAUACCAAAAUAAUUUCUGUUACCUGCAUUCAAAAUGUGGUUAUGCUGACAAAGCCUUUAGACCAUGUGUAUAUGGCAAAGAAGCUGUUUUCCUGAGAACCAGAGAGAAAAAUCAGGAACCUUGGGGGUGUGUGCACAUCUAAAUUCUUAAAGGUAUUUUGGAUGGACAUUAACUCUGCUUGUGAGUUUCACUGGAGAACCACUGCAUCAACCUCCAAAAGGAACGCAUUAAUAUUUAGUCAUAAUCAUGAAUCUAACAAGGAAGCAAUCAUGUAAUUGAACAAUAACAGCAGUGUGUUUCCCAGAGAAGAUUCAAAUCAGACAACAAGAACAGAGCUUCUGUAAUUUUCUCUAUGCUCUUCUCUAAAGAAAAAAGGAUGUUAAUGUUGUAUUGUUUCUUUCUUUAAGUUCUUUGAUAUUGAGGCCAAAACUAUGCUUCCACGUUGGUUGGCCCUCCUAUCUGUUAACAAUAUAAGAUCUGGCUGUAUCCAAAAUACAUACCAUUUCCAAAGCGGAUUUCAUAUUGUCUCUUCAGGACCAACUAGGUGGCAGGAAGCUAGGUCCCUCGUGAUGUCUUGGGACAUUCAAAGUCCUGUUUCUCAGUGGGUAGAAAAGAAUUAGUGAAACAACAACCACAAAAGGCUGCUGACUUUUGUUUUUCUUUGCAAGCUAACUUCUCAAGCUCUGGGGAUGCCUCGGUGAUCUCCGAUGUGCAAUUAGUAGAGGCCAGCCGUUGCUCACCUCUACACAGUCUGCUACUCAUUAGCGAGCAGGAGUUCUGAUGUUCCUCUCAUCUUGGAUGGUAAGAAAUUUAUGAAAAUGCUAAGUCCUGAGGACUAAAAGAGGAAAUGAGGACUAAAUAUACAAAAUAGUCCAGAAGGCAGCAUGUGAAAGAGAGCAUUAAUAAAUAAUGUUGGUCAUCAGUCAUUAAUGCCACGGGGAUCCUAGGCGAUGGCUAGGAAAUGGCUUUCGCAGGCUGAGAUGGUGGUAGCGCUUCACCCUCUA
Molecule: long non-coding RNA, 2797 nt
Filed under: Macaca mulatta (Rhesus monkey)
Lineage: Eukaryota; Metazoa; Chordata; Mammalia; Primates; Cercopithecidae
Description: lncRNA (ENSMMUG00000064411.1)
Source: RNAcentral